AUUGAACGCUGGCGGCAGGCCUAACACAUGCAAGUCGAGCGGAUGAGGGGAGCUUGCUCCCUGAUUUAGCGGCGGACGGGUGAGUAAUGCCUAGGAAUCUGCCUGGUAGUGGGGGAUAACGUUCCGAAAGGAACGCUAAUACCGCAUCCGUCCUACGGGAGAAAGCAGGGGACCUUCGGUCCUUGCGCUAUCAGAUGACCCUAGGUCGGAUUAGCUAGUUGGUGAGGUAAUGGCUCACCAAGGCGACGAUCCGUAACUGGUCUGAGAGGAUGAUCAGUCACACUGGAACUGAGACACGGUCCAGACUCCUACGGGAGGCAGCAGUGGGGAAUAUUGGACAAUGGGCGAAAGCCUGAUCCAGCCAUGCCGCGUGUGUGAAGAAGGUCUUCGGAUUGUAAAGCACUUUAAGUUGGGAGGAAGGGCUGCUGGUUAAUACCCUGCAGUUUUGACGUUACCAACAGAAUAAGCACCGGCUAACUUCGUG
RNAcentral lists this ribosomal RNA (484 nucleotides) under uncultured bacterium. Its description in RNAcentral is "partial 16S ribosomal RNA". It matches the Rfam family "Bacterial small subunit ribosomal RNA", at positions 30 to 507 of the family's 1533-position model. The record is from RNAcentral.